Molecule: long non-coding RNA, 802 nt
Filed under: Ceratitis capitata (Mediterranean fruit fly)
Lineage: Eukaryota; Metazoa; Arthropoda; Insecta; Diptera; Tephritidae
Description: uncharacterized LOC110117913, transcript variant X1
Source: RNAcentral
UACGAUUUACACAAACAAAUUACAAAAAUUUUUUGACCUAAGUUCAAUUUUCGCGAACAUUUUGAAACUAUUUGACUGAAUGAAGACUAUACGGUUUUGCAAAAUUUGCUAUACCAAUCUUUUGGUUAGGACGAAAGGAAGAAAUGCUUGCAAAUCAUCUGUUCGAAACUGAGCAAAGGAAAAAUUAAAAAUGGUGCACUAAAUGGACCGGAUAUGCCUUAAGAGUCGGACGAACAAAGUGUGCGUUUUCACCACAUCACCAAGUCAAUAGAAAUGCGAUAUAAGGGAAAACGCACUGCAUGCAUUGCUUGCGGAAGUAUUUUGGUGGUCAAGGAAAAUAAUUCAAUUUUAAAAUGAAUACACCGAAGAAGUGCAUUUGAGCAAAUAUGGACGUAAAUAUGUCAAUAAAUGUAUUUACUGACCUUGAUCAAGAUGAUGUUCCUGGUGUUGCUGAUGCUGAUAAAUCACGCUUGUGGUGAAUGAAGCUAUCAUAAAUAUAGGCAUAAUAGCAACAAUUUGGCUUCAGAUACUAAAACGAAAUUCCGUGCAGUUGACCAGAUGUGACCAUGUCAAAAUAUUAAGAAACUAUUAAAAUCACUUUGAAAACGAGGUAACGCUCUCAGAUUCUUAUAUGAGAGCAAAUCAAGACUUGACGUCUACAUUCAACAUCUGAUCACCAAAGUCUUAUCGGAAAUUUAGUGUUGCAUAGUGUAAAGGCAAAUUAGGUAUUUACUCACAUAUAUAAUGCUCUAAAUUCAUUCCACUCGAAUCAGUUGUACUUCAUUUGCUUUCCUAUCUUAUU